UACAGAGGGUGCAAGCGUUAAUCGGAAUUACUGGGCGUAAAGCGUGCGUAGGUGGGCUGAUGUGUUGGCUGUGAAAUCCCCGAGCUUAACUUGGGAAAGCCAGCCAAAACUGUCAGUCUAGAGUAUAGUAGAGGAAAGUGGAAUUUCCGGUGUAGCGGUGAAAUGCGUAGAUAUCGGAAGGAACAUCAGUGGCGAAGGCGACUUUCUGGACUAAUACUGACACUGAGGCACGAAAGCGUGGGGAGCAAACAGG
This 253-nucleotide ribosomal RNA is filed under the name uncultured bacterium. RNAcentral describes it as "partial 16S ribosomal RNA". It matches the Rfam family "Bacterial small subunit ribosomal RNA", at positions 524 to 776 of the family's 1533-position model. The record is from RNAcentral.